This 147-nucleotide ribosomal RNA is filed under the name Zenaida macroura (mourning dove). RNAcentral's name for it is "partial 16S ribosomal RNA". The record is from RNAcentral. Lineage: Eukaryota; Metazoa; Chordata; Aves; Columbiformes; Columbidae.
UUAUUUGGGUCUGGUUACUGUUAGUACGUUGAGGGGUUGCUCUUAGUUAAGAGGUGGUGGUCUUAUUUUUGGAGGUUUUGUUUUUCUCCAAGGUCGCCCCAACCGAAAAAUGCGAGCCAGCACAUCAUGUCUGGUGAGCCUAGUAGG